GAUGAACGCUGGCUACAGGCUUAACACAUGCAAGUCGAGGGGAAACGACGGGGAAGCUUGCUUCCCCGGGCGUCGACCGGCGCACGGGUGAGUAACGCGUAUCCAACCUGCCUCUGACUGAGGGAUAACCCGUCGAAAGUCGGCCUAAUACCUCAUGGUAUCGUCUGCGGGCGUCCAACGACGAUUAAAGAUUUCAUCGGUCAGGGAUGGGGAUGCGUCUGAUUAGCUUGUUGGCGGGGUAACGGCCCACCAAGGCUACGAUCAGUAGGGGUUCUGAGAGGAAGGUCCCCCACAUUGGAACUGGGACACGGUCCAAACUCCUACGGGAGGCAGCAGUGAGGGAUAUUGAUCAAUGGGCGAGAGCCUGAACCAGCCAAGUAGCGUGCAGGAAGACGGCCCUAUGGGUUGUAAACUGCUUUUAUGCGGGGAUAAAGUGAGGGACGUGUCCCUCAUUGCAGGUACCGCAUGAAUAAGGACCGGCUAAUUCCGUG
RNAcentral lists this ribosomal RNA (491 nucleotides) under uncultured bacterium. Its description in RNAcentral is "partial 16S ribosomal RNA". It matches the Rfam family "Bacterial small subunit ribosomal RNA", at positions 28 to 507 of the family's 1533-position model. The record is from RNAcentral.